Molecule: ribosomal RNA, 529 nt
Filed under: Lodderomyces metapsilosis
Lineage: Eukaryota; Fungi; Ascomycota; Pichiomycetes; Serinales; Debaryomycetaceae
Description: LSU rRNA
Rfam family: Eukaryotic large subunit ribosomal RNA
Source: RNAcentral
CCAACAGGGAUUGCCUUAGUAGCGGCGAGUGAAGCGGCAAAAGCUCAAAUUUGAAAUCUGGCACUUUCAGUGUCCGAGUUGUAAUUUGAAGAAGGUAUCUUUGGGUCUGGCUCUUGUCUAUGUUUCUUGGAACAGAACGUCACAGAGGGUGAGAAUCCCGUGCGAUGAGAUGACCCAGACCUAUGUAAAGUUCCUUCGAAGAGUCGAGUUGUUUGGGAAUGCAGCUCUAAGUGGGUGGUAAAUUCCAUCUAAAGCUAAAUAUUGGCGAGAGACCGAUAGCGAACAAGUACAGUGAUGGAAAGAUGAAAAGAACUUUGAAAAGAGAGUGAAAAAGUACGUGAAAUUGUUGAAAGGGAAGGGCUUGAGAUCAGACUUGGUAUUUUGUAUGUUACUCUUUCGGGGGUGGCCUCUACAGUUUACCGGGCCAGCAUCAGUUUGGGCGGUAGGAGAAUUGCAAAGAAAUGUGGCACUGCUUCGGUAGUGUGUUAUAGUCUUUGUCGAUACUGCCAGCCUAGACUGAGGACUGCGG